AUUUAAAACAAACUGGAGAUAAAGUUUUUAUUUCACAAAAACAACAUUUUAGCAAUCAACAUUUACAGACAUUCUUUGUCGUCAUUCUCCUCAUUUCUUAUAAACACCUCCAUCUCCCCUGCCCCCCAUACAGAAUGUAUUGUUAUACAUUUUGCAAUUUGGUUUCUACUUUGUAAUGAGAAACCUGCUUGUUUUGAAAAUCUAUAAAUAUUAGCUUUCAAAAUAUAUUAGAGAUCUUUUCUUCUGUAUAUACCCAUUCUCAGCAGCAUUCCAGUGUAAGCAAUAAGCACCAAAAGAUUAAAAAUUUUUUUUUUUUUUUUUUUUUUUUAAGACAGUCUUUCACGGUUUCAGUUUUACCCAUACUCCAUCUAAAUAACAAGUUUCAUUUUAAACUACGCAUUACUUUAUUCUGCAUAACCAGUCAUAAAAUGCCCCUUGGGAAAGAUUAUAUUAAGAUAUUCAACAUUUUCAAAUGACAGUUAUCCUUUAAUCUCUAUGUACCAUCUCUUAAUAGGACUUUUGGAGAAUGAGCAUUAGCCGUCAUAAGAGACAGUUUGACCCAAAGUGCAUAAAAUGGCUGUCAGGGCAAGUGUAAAAGUAGCAAAGUGAUAUUUAAAAAAAAUUAAAAAUAUAAAAAUUAAAAUAUCUCCCAAAACACAAAUUAAGUACAUUAAUAAAAAGGUUGAUACAGUAUAUUAUACUACAAAGAUAUGAAAAUAUAGUUCAAUUAGUUAUCCUUUUAAGAUGUAAAACACUGAGCUGAAAUGCCCUAUAGAUAUGUGACUCAUUUGCUUUUUCACUUCUUAAAGAAUUCAAGGGAAAUAGAAAGAAGUUUAAAUCUACACACCGUAAAUUAUGCUUUUGGAAAUAACUAGAAUGCGGUAUUGAAAGUUAGGUUUGGCCAUACAUUGCAGUAGAAAACAAUUUGCUUUUUUAUUUUAUUCCCACUCUGCCAGUUAGUCAAAUUAUAAACCAAAGAACAAUUAUCUUCCUCAAUAUAAAAUUGUAACUAAUUGCAUAUAGUAGACAUACCAGUGUAUGGACAUGACAAUUUAUAUCUCCUCUACUGUACCAUAAAAAAGGUUUCAUUUCAGGAUUAGAAUUUUCCAAAGUUAAAUUAAUUUAUUUAAGGAAUUAUUAAAAGAAACAAAAUACCCUAUGUAAACUUAAAAGUAUACAGCAGUAUUAACAAACUAACAGAAUUAACAAGUGAACUUUGUGCACAUAGGGUAUAUUUUAAACAAUUUGACAGAAUAAUGAAUACAGAACACAGCACAGGAAACAAAGUUGUUAUUCGCUAUAUACUCACGUAGACAAUUAGCAAUUGCAGAGAUUUAUAGGGUUUCUAUUUCUGUUUGCGUAUUGCUAUCAUGUGCCUAACAGAAUAAUACCUGAAAUUACAACUGAGGGAUUUUCUCCAAAUUGUAGUCGGGAAGCAGAAGAAUUCACUGUCUGCUUAUAAGAGGAAAAAAAAAAAAAUCCCUGAAACCUGAAAAGUGGUAGAAUAUACAUCUGGAAUGUACAUGUGGAAUGCAGACAUUUACAAAUUUAAGUUGUCUCAAAUUUUCCAAGGGACGGAUUCAUCUCCCUGAUGUCUGACAGUUUUCAAAAUUCAUUAUAUAUUGUUUUAUGCGGUGUCGUGUUUUGUUUUCCUUGAAUUUCACAUUUUUAUCUGACUGAUGUCACAACAGCAGUCAAGUUAGGUUGAAAAGCAAUUGGUCAAGUAACAAGAGACCAAACCUAGCUGCUAAACCAGAUUUAAAAUAAGGACUCUCUCAAAAAUAUCAAUAUACAGCACUAAAAAAAAAAAAAAAAAGUAAAGAGAGACUGCUGCUCUUUAAGUAGAUCCCAUCUAUAUAGUGGAUGGAAGGAGCCCUGGACUCCUAAUAGUUUUAGUUCUUAACCUACUGUAUAUGGGUGAUGAGGUUGGGCUGGACAAUAUUAGUAGAUCUGCUGAACACCGCCCCCAACAAACAUACUGUUACAAAUGGUCUAACCAUGGGUGAAAAUGUGAGCAGCUGCUGCUACUUCCAUUAAGAAUAUUAACCAUCAUACGUAUGUCUACAGUUAGAGGAAACUCCCACCCACCUCUUUUUAAGCUUUGUAUCUGCUAGCUGUUUGCAUAGCUAAAAGGGACAUUUUUACUUAUUUGGUUAAUUAUCUCCUGAGCUAUUGAGGGCUAUUUUGGGAGCAUUUGAAACAAUUUGAUGCAAAUAAAUUCAGAAGUUAGUUUACAUAGUUCACAGGCAAGUAAAUGUCACCUCAUCCCCCCCCCCUCUACAAAUACUAAAUAAAUAAUUGUAUUUUUAUAGUGGCAAAUGAGAGGAUGUUUCAAACAGUACAAUUUUUUUUUUAUCGUUACAUAGCAACACAAUAGCUAAAACAAAGUGUCCACAUUUCUGCCCACCUAAAGGGACACUAUAGUUACCCAGACCACUUCAUCUGAAUCUCUGGAUACAGUAACCCUCCCUUUUUUUACCCUGCAAUGUAAAACAUUGCCUUUAAUUUUAUUUUUUAUACGGCGGUGUUUACAUUGCAGGGUUAAGUACACCUCUUGCAGCUGUCAAUACGACCGUCACUAGAGGUGAUUCCACAGUGACAGGCUGACAGUAAAAAACUGUCACACAACGCAGAAGCCCUCAUAGAAGAGCAAUGACUAGAUGCUUUCCUAUGGGGAAGCCGCAAAUGUGCAUUAAAUCCCCAAUGCUCCUCUAGGAGGAGCUUAGGAGCCUUAAAUUUAACAGUCGUGAGAGACGGAGAGCUAAGCUGCACCGAGGGAGCCUUGGUGCUGAUGAAAUGCAAUAAACUGUUUUACACUUUUACUGCACAGGCCUUAACCGACACGUAAAGCUAGUGUGUUGUGAUGUAACAAAAGUCAUGUGAGUGCGAUCUCAUUUGCAAUUGUGUGUGGGCUACAGAACACAGAGGCAGAGAAACAAAAGGUGAGAUACUUGAGUGUUGGGCUUUGGCAAAUUAGAGAGAAUAUAAAUAUAUAUAUAUUCUAUCUAUAUCUCAAAAGUCAGAGGUUAGCAGUAAUAACUCCAGGUGUACCUGUUUUUCUUGAAGGCUAUAUUAGGAUUUGAUGCUUACAUUCAAAUUCUGAGUAUGUUUCUUUAAACUUCACUAUAGAACCAGAGAUUGUGUAAUAGACAUGCUAUUGUAAACAUACAAAUCCCCCUAGAGUAGAAAAAGGUCAUGAGGUCAACUUCAUAACCAACAUAAGUCCAGAACAGAUCCAGCUUUAUUUAGAUGGAAAAGCUCCUGCUAAAUAAUUCAUUAAGGGUUUCAAAAUAUGACCAACCAUAGCAAAUGUACAUUGAGGAGAUGAUUAGUAAUUUAAACACGUGUGUGUAUAUUUACAUACACAAACACACCUGUAUUUAAUUUUUUUUUUUUUUAAUUUCUUGAGCAAUGUUAGAGUUGUGUUCAAGGUACAAGUAGAGAAUCAGGAUUUUUCACUAGUCCAAGUUAAAUAUAAGAUUCAAGCUUCUAGAUUUUGCCAUUAUUUCUCAAUAAAAUUAACAAACUUGCUAUAUAUUAAAUAAGUGUAGACAUAUUUCACUAUGUUUAGUAACAAAGCACUCCACCUAAAAUCAGACCAGAUAAUAUACUGUACCAAAAUAGCCAUUCAAUGCUUACUUAAUUCUCAAUAUGCCAAUUUCUAGACUGCUCAGUGUCAUCCUACAGUACCAAACAACUAAAUAUCAAGCAUGUGACCGUCUGUGGAUCCAGAACAAACACAAACAGCGGUCCACAUUGCUUGUUCAAGUAAAAUGUUUAGCACUCUACAAAAAUAGAGAUAUAAAAAGCUGCCUUAAGGUUUUUGUGCACUCGCAUUGAAAAGCUCAGGUAAAAUACAAAGUAUAUUGCUUAAAGAUUAUGAGCUUUUCAAUUAAGAAGAAAAAAUAUUUUAUAUAUUGUAUAGGUGUGUUACAUGGAGUGUCUGUAACAAUGUUCAUUUAGCAUGAAUAAACAAAAUCAUGCUGUCAUGUAGACAUUAAAUGUGCGAAGACCAGAACAUACAUUUUGAGCUUUCUGUAGAUAUACGAGUGAGAAUGUUGCACAUAUUCUGUGCUGAAGAAAAUGAUCACUGUGUUCACCAAACAUGAAAAUAAUUUAAUUCUGGGUCCACACAAUAUGUACAAAAAUAGACAACUAUGGAAUAAAAUUUUGGUUCCAAAAAUAUACACGACUUAACUGUGAGGCAUGCCCGGCAAUACAAACAGCUUGAUUUGAAAGAGCAGCAGUACACCCAAAAACUGAGUGCAUAGUGAAGAUACGUUCUUUCUCUACAUUGCUGGACCAUAUUAGAAUAGAUAUUUUCUAAACAUUCAGUAGAAAAUUUGAGAUUUUAAAGACACUCAAUGCACCCAUCAUCUUUGUCAGUUUGCCCCACGACUCAUGGUAAGAGAUUCACCAGUGAAUCAAAAGAAGUUCAUUUAGCUUAAUCAAGUCUUGAACACUUUCAAAUGGUAAAAAUUAUGUACUUUCUCCCUUCAGUUGUGAGAAGUAAUCAAAGCUGCAUUUGCUGGUGUUGUCAAGAGCAAAUUGAGUGGUAUUCUGCAGAUCCCUUUUCCAGUAAGUGACAAACUGGAAUGUCCCCAUACAACACAGGAUCAGUCAUGGGGUAAAGCAUCAGAAAGAAAAGUGCAACCCCAAGAAAAUAAAACAUAAGAAUGGUUGCACAACGGGGGUGGUCCAAUGCUGAGAAAAUAGCUGGAAAGCCAAUGUAGUUGCAAAAGGAAUGGCAUAGGACUGGGCCUAUCAGGUGCCCUAAAAAUAAAUAUAUGUAGUUAGAGUAAUUAAAAAACAAUUACAAAUGUGUUAAAUGGGAAGACAUUUUUCUACUUUAAAAUAAAAUGCAAGCCUGGAAACCUGGAAAAUUUACGGCAUGCAUACAGGUAGGCAACUCAAUCCACCCACAUGACGGAGAUGCAACAUGUAUGUUGGGUUACAGUUAUGCUUGGCAAUGAAAUUUCCCCUCUCCCCCUCAAGAAAAUAUUUUGGACCAUACAAUUGGUGGAAGGAUGUCAAGAAUGUGAUAGCCCCCCUGCCUUAAUCAGAGGAGGCACCGCAGGGGACUAAACUCCUACAAUUCCUGUGAGAGCAUUUCUGGAGAGCAGAGUUAACUG
Pelobates cultripes (western spadefoot toad) is the source of this 5132-nucleotide non-coding RNA. The record is from the annotation of a GenBank genome assembly. Lineage: Eukaryota; Metazoa; Chordata; Amphibia; Anura; Pelobatidae.